CGCCUUUUGAUUAUAAUAAGAGGUCCAGCCUGCCCAGUGAUAAAUUUAACGGCCGCGGUACCCUAACCGUGCAAAGGUAGCAUAAUCACUUGUUCUUUAAAUAAGGACUUGUAUCAACGGCAUCACGAGGGUUCUACUGUCUCCUCUCUCCAAUCGGUGAAACUGAUCUCCCUAUGAAAAAGUGGGGAUAAACUUAUAAGACGAGAAGACCCCAUGGAGCUUUAAAACCUAUAGCAACCUAGCAAACACUUCCAUUUAGCUAUAAAACUAUGCUUAAGGACUUUAGGUUGGGAGGACCACGGAGCACAAAAUAACCUCCGCAAUGAAAAGAAUACAAUCUUUACCAAAGAGCCACAACUCCAAGAAUUAGAAAACUAACGUACAAUGACCCGAUAUCGAUCAAUGAACUAAGUUACCCUGGGGAUAACAGCGCAAUCCAUUCUGAGAGUUCAUAUCGACGAACGGGCUUACGACCUCGAUGUUGGAUCAGGGUAUCCUGGUGGUGCAGCCGCUACCGAAGGUUCGUUUGUUCAACGAUUAAAACCCU
Molecule: ribosomal RNA, 547 nt
Filed under: Pseudophilautus amboli
Lineage: Eukaryota; Metazoa; Chordata; Amphibia; Anura; Rhacophoridae
Description: partial 16S ribosomal RNA
Rfam family: Bacterial large subunit ribosomal RNA
Source: RNAcentral